This 573-nucleotide ribosomal RNA is filed under the name Triticum aestivum (bread wheat). Its description in RNAcentral is "partial small subunit ribosomal RNA". Lineage: Eukaryota; Viridiplantae; Streptophyta; Magnoliopsida; Poales; Poaceae. The record is from RNAcentral.
AUGACUCGAGAAGACCCCGCCAGAUCUCGCCCUCGUCAUCAGUUCUGUAUCGCCGUCAUCGUGGCCACGGCCGCCCCUCCGCCGCACCUCCCACCGCUGGCGUGCAACCUGUACCAGGGGUUGUGGACGUACGAUGCGGAGGCGUCCCAGGUGCGACUGUACAGGGAGCCGGAGUGCGAGUUCCUGACGGAGCAGGUGACCUGCAUGCGCAACGGCCGGCGCGAUGACUCGUACCAGCGGUGGCGCUGGCAGCCUUCCUCCUGCGACCACCCCAGGUUCGAUGCGCGGUUGCUGCUGGAGCGGCUGUGGAAGAAGAGGCUGAUGUUCGUGGGGGACUCCCUGAAGUCGAUGGUGUGCCUGGUGUCGUCGGCGAUCCCGUCGCGCGACCAAAAGUCCCUGGCCAAGUUCGUGGGGCCCAACGGCUCUCUCAACGUGUUCAUGGCGGCGGAUUACAACGCGACGGUGGAGUUCUACUGGGAGCUCCAAGCCUCCAACUCGGAUGACCCGCAGGCGCACGGCGUGCUGGACCCCGUCAUCGCCUGGCGGUCCAUUCCCAAGCACGCCCGGCACUAG